GUCGAGCGGUAGAGAGAAGCUUGCUUCUCUUGAGAGCGGCGGACCGGUGAGUAAAGCCUAGGAAUCUGCCUGGUAGUGGGGGAUAACGUUCGGAAACGGACGCUAAUACCGCAUACGUCCUACGGGAGAAAGCAGGGGACCUUCGGGCCUUGCGCUAUCAGAUGAGCCUAGGUCGGAUUAGCUAGUUGGUGAGGUAAUGGCUCACCAAGGCGACGAUCCGUAACUGGUCUGAGAGGAUGAUCAGUCACACUGGAACUGAGACACGGUCCAGACUCCUACGGGAGGCAGCAGUGGGGAAUAUUGGACAAUGGGCGAAAGCCUGAUCCAGCCAUGCCGCGUGUGUGAAGAAGGUCUUCGGAUUGUAAAGCACUUUAAGUUGGGAGGAAGGGCAUUAACCUAAUACGUUAGUGUUUUGACGUUACCGACAGAAUAAGCACCGGCUAACUCUGUGCCAGCAGCCGCGGUAAUACAGAGGGUGCAAGCGUUAAUCGGAAUUACUGGGCGUAAAGCGCGCGUAGGUGGUUUGUUAAGUUGGAUGUGAAAUCCCCGGGCUCAACCUGGGAACUGCAUUCAAAACUGACUGACUAGAGUAUGGUAGAGGGUGGUGGAAUUUCCUGUGUAGCGGUGAAAUGCGUAGAUAUAGGAAGGAACACCAGUG
RNAcentral lists this ribosomal RNA (658 nucleotides) under uncultured bacterium. Its description in RNAcentral is "bacterial SSU rRNA". It matches the Rfam family "Bacterial small subunit ribosomal RNA", at positions 61 to 714 of the family's 1533-position model. The record is from RNAcentral.